AUUGAACGCUGGCGGCAGGCUUAACACAUGCAAGUCGAGCGGGGGAAGGUAGCUUGCUACUGGACCUAGCGGCGGACGGGUGAGUAACGCUUAGGCACAUAUCCAGUAGCGGGGGAUAACCUGUCGAAAGAUAGGCUAAUACCGCAUACGACCUACGGGUGAAAGCGGAAGAACCCAGGGCUUCGCACUAUUGGAGAUGCUGAUGUCGGAUUAGCUAGUUGGCGGGGUAACGGCCCACCAAAGCGACGAUCCGUAGCUGGUCUGAGAGGACGACCAGCCACACUGGAACUGAGACACGGUCCAGACGCCUACGGGAGGCAGCAGUGGGGAAUUUUGGACAAUGGGCGCAAGCCUGAUCCAGCCAUGCCGCGUGAGUGAAGAAGGCCUUCGGGUUGUAAAGCUCUUUCGGCGGGAACGAAAUGGUUCGUGCUAAUACCACGGACUAAUGACGGUACCCGAAGAAGAAGCACCGGCUAACUACGUGCCAGCCGCCGCGGUAA
This 500-nucleotide ribosomal RNA is filed under the name uncultured bacterium. RNAcentral's name for it is "partial 16S ribosomal RNA". It matches the Rfam family "Bacterial small subunit ribosomal RNA", at positions 29 to 523 of the family's 1533-position model. The record is from RNAcentral.